CAAUUUCAAUAAUGUCUUAAAUUUACUUAAUGAAGUGGUAUGAAUAAGUCCCUACUAUGUUUUUCCAUUGUUUAUCUCAAGACAGUUGAUUCAUGCCUGUUUUACCAUCCUAUUAGGACGAUAAAAGAGUCAUUUAUGACUUGAUUGGCAAGAAAGUCUGUAUGGGCGACCAUAAGCCUGUUUUUCUUGAUUUAAGAUUAGACACGUCAAAGUCUGCCCCAGACGCGUUUCAAGGGGAGGACUAGGCCCCUAUUUAAAGCCUGUGUAGGAAUAACGCAGAAUGGAGUAAGUGAUGAAUAUAUCGAAUACAUCACAUGUGUUUAAAAACGAAAAGAUUAUAAUCACCAAUGAUGGCCGUGUCAAGUGUCUAUUAUACAGGAAUCCCAAAUAAACACAGGAAACCCAAAAAACUAAGCUGCACUAAUAAAUCGACUUACGACGCUACCAUAUACCGAUACGUAGUCAUUUUAGAGGCACAGGGAGCCAAGGAACUAUGAUUAUUUUGCUUUAUCAGUCACAAAGUGGCUGCGGUGAUCGGCAUCCAAGUGAUCGGGCAAUCGUUACAUUAAUAAUUAUAAUAAUAAUAUUCUAUAUAUAUAUAUUUAAUAAAAUGUAAAAUUAUUAUGAUUUCUGAAGAUAAUGAUUAAAGUUGCGGGUUUAACGAAC
Molecule: long non-coding RNA, 666 nt
Organism: Exaiptasia diaphana
Lineage: Eukaryota; Metazoa; Cnidaria; Anthozoa; Actiniaria; Aiptasiidae
Exons: 4
Source: RefSeq, a predicted model, not a curated record